GAUCCUGGCUCAGAUUGAACGCUGGCGGCAGGCUUAACACAUGCAAGUCGAACGGUAGCAGGAGAAAGCUUGCUUUCUUGCUGACGAGUGGCGGACGGGUGAGUAAUGCUUGGGAAUCUGGCUUAUGGAGGGGGAUAACUACGGGAAACUGUAGCUAAUACCGCGUAGUAUCGGAAGAUGAAAGUGCGGGACCGUAAGGCCGCAUGCCAUGAGAUGAGCCCAAGUGGGAUUAGGUAG
This 237-nucleotide ribosomal RNA is filed under the name uncultured bacterium. RNAcentral's name for it is "partial 16S ribosomal RNA". It matches the Rfam family "Bacterial small subunit ribosomal RNA", at positions 15 to 248 of the family's 1533-position model. The record is from RNAcentral.